Molecule: ribosomal RNA, 515 nt
Filed under: Cutibacterium avidum
Lineage: Bacteria; Bacillati; Actinomycetota; Actinomycetes; Propionibacteriales; Propionibacteriaceae
Description: bacterial SSU rRNA
Rfam family: Bacterial small subunit ribosomal RNA
Source: RNAcentral
UUUCAUUGGAGAGUUUGAUCCUGGCUCAGGACGAACGCUGGCGGCGUGCUUAACACAUGCAAGUCGAACGGAAAGGCCCCUUUGGGGGUACUCGAGUGGCGAACGGGUGAGUAACACGUGAGUAACCUGCCCUUGACUUCGGGAUAACUUCAGGAAACUGGGGCUAAUACCGGAUAGGAAUCCUUGCUGCAUGGUGGGGGUUGGAAAGCUUCGGCGGUUUUGGAUGGACUCGCGGCUUAUCAGCUUGUUGGUGGGGUAGUGGCUUACCAAGGCUUUGACGGGUAGCCGGCCUGAGAGGGCGACCGGCCACAUUGGGACUGAGAUACGGCCCAGACUCCUACGGGAGGCAGCAGUGGGGAAUAUUGCACAAUGGGCGGAAGCCUGAUGCAGCAACGCCGCGUGCGGGAUGACGGCCUUCGGGUUGUAAACCGCUUUCAGCAGGGGCGAAGCUUGUGGUGACGGUACCUGCAGAAGAAGCACCGGCUAACUACGUGCCAGCAGCCGCGGUGAUACGU